UGUAAGCGUAUACCAAAGUUGUUGCAGUUAAAACGCUCGUAAUCGGAAUUUGGCAGUUCCGGAUGUGUGCACGUCGUGUGCGCACUUCGCGGGGAUUGCUUUUGUGGUCUUGCGUAGGAUGAGGCACUUUUAUUAGUGAACGUCCUCACGCAACCACUUUUUACUGUGAGAAAAUCAGAGUGCUCAAAGCAGGCAUUUGCCGUGAAUGUAUUAGCAUGGAAUAAUAGAAUAGGACUUGGUUCUAUUUUGUUGGUUUGUUGGGACUGAGUAAUGAUUAAGAGGGACAGUUGGGGGCAUUUGUAUUUCGGUGCUAGAGGUGAAAUUCUUAGAUUACCGAAAGACAAACUGCUGCGAAAGCGUCUGCCAAGGAUGUUUUCAUUGA
RNAcentral lists this ribosomal RNA (382 nucleotides) under uncultured eukaryote. RNAcentral describes it as "partial 18S ribosomal RNA". It matches the Rfam family "Eukaryotic small subunit ribosomal RNA", at positions 592 to 976 of the family's 1831-position model. The record is from RNAcentral.